ACGUAGGUGGCAAGCGUUGUCCGGAUUUACUGGGUGUAAAGGGCGUGCAGCCGGGUCUGCAAGUCAGAUGUGAAAUCCAUGGGCUCAACCCAUGAACUGCAUUUGAAACUGUAGAUCUUGAGUGUCGGAGGGGCAAUCGGAAUUCCUAGUGUAGCGGUGAAAUGCGUAGAUAUUAGGAGGAACACCAGUGGCGAAGGCGGAUUGCUGGACGAUAACUGACGGUGAGGCGCGAAAGUGUGGGGAGCAAACAG
RNAcentral lists this ribosomal RNA (251 nucleotides) under uncultured bacterium. Its description in RNAcentral is "partial 16S ribosomal RNA". It matches the Rfam family "Bacterial small subunit ribosomal RNA", at positions 525 to 775 of the family's 1533-position model. The record is from RNAcentral.